GAUGAACGCUGGCGGCGUGCUUAACACAUGCCAGUCGAACGAUGAAGCCCAGCUUGCUGGGUGGAUUAGUGGCGAACGGGUGAGUAACACGUGAGUAACCUGCCCUUAACUCUGGGAUAAGCCUGGGAAACUGGGUCUAAUACCGGAUAGGAGCGUCCACCGCAUGGUGGGUGUUGGAAAGAUUUAUCGGUUUUGGAUGGACUCGCGGCCUAUCAGCUUGUUGGUGAGGUAAUGGCUCACCAAGGCGACGACGGGUAGCCGGCCUGAGAGGGUGACCGGCCACAAGGGGACUGAGACACGGACCAGACUCCUACGGGAGGCAGCAGUGGGGAAUAUUGCACAAUGGGCGCAAGCCUGAUGCAGCGACGCCGCGUGAGGGAUGACGGCCUUCGGGUUGUAAACCUCUUUCAGUAGGGAAGAAGCGAAAGUGACGGUACCUUCAGAAGAAGCACCGGCUAACUACGUG
RNAcentral lists this ribosomal RNA (466 nucleotides) under uncultured bacterium. Its description in RNAcentral is "partial 16S ribosomal RNA". It matches the Rfam family "Bacterial small subunit ribosomal RNA", at positions 28 to 507 of the family's 1533-position model. The record is from RNAcentral.